This 500-nucleotide ribosomal RNA is filed under the name uncultured soil bacterium. Its description in RNAcentral is "bacterial SSU rRNA". It matches the Rfam family "Bacterial small subunit ribosomal RNA", at positions 8 to 524 of the family's 1533-position model. The record is from RNAcentral.
AGAGUUUGAUCCUGGCUCAGGACGAACGCUGGCGGCGCGCCUUUCAACAUGCAAGUCGAACGAGAGCCCCGGGCUUGCCCGGGGGGACAGUGGCGAACGGGUGAGUAACACGUGAGGAACCUGCCCCGAAGACCGGGACAACACCGGGAAACCGGUGCUAAUACCGGAUACCUUCACCGGGUCGCAUGGUCUGGUGAAGAAAUGGAUUCCGCUUCGGGAUGGCCUCGCGGCCUAUCAGCUUGUUGGUGAGGUAACGGCUCACCAAGGCAACGACGGGUAGCUGGUCUGAGAGGAUGUCCAGCCACACUGGGACUGAGACACGGCCCAGACUCCUACGGGAGGCAGCAGUUAGGAAUCUUGCGCAAUGGACGAAAGUCUGACGCAGCGACGCCGCGUGCGGGAUGAAGGCCCUCGGGUUGUAAACCGCUUUCAGCAGGGACGAAAUUGACGGUACCUGCAGAAGAAGCCCCGGCCAACUACGUGCCAGCAGCCGCGGUAAU